UGCUCUGUAACUCAAAGAUUNUUCGCCACAGGAUGGGUCUGCGGCCGAUUAGGUAGUUGUUGGGGUAACGGCCCAACAAGCCUUUGAUCGGUACGGGUUGUGGGAGCAAGAGCCCGAAGAUGGAUUCUGAGACACGAAUCCAGGCCCUACGGGGCGCAGCAGGCGCGAAAACUUUACAAUGCGGGAAACCGUGAUAAGGGAACUCCGAGUGUCCGUAAAUGCGGACUGUCCGUAUGUCUAAAAAGCAUGCGAAGAAAGGGCCGGGCAAGACCGGUGCCAGCCGCCGCGGUAAUACCGGCGGCUCGAGUGGUGGCCACUAUUAUUGGGCUUAAAGCGUUCGUAGCUGGAUCGUUAAGUCUCUUGGGAAAUCUACCGGCUUAACCGAUAGGCGUCCAAGGGAUACUGGCGAUCUAGGGACCGGGAGAGGUGAGGGGUACUUCAGGGGUAGGAGUGAAAUCCUGUAAUCCUUGGGGGACCACCUGUGGCGAAGGCGCCUCACCAGAACGGCUCCGACAGUGAGGGACGAAAGCUGGGUGAGCAAACCGGAUUAGAUACCCGGGUAGUCCCAGCCGUAAACGAUGCGCGUUAGGUGUAUCGAUGACCACGAGUCAUCGAGGUGCCGAAGGGAAACCGUGAAACGCGCCGCCUGGGAAGUACGGUCGCAAGGCUGAAACUUAAAGGAAUUGGCGGGGGAGCACAA
This 700-nucleotide ribosomal RNA is filed under the name uncultured archaeon. RNAcentral's name for it is "bacterial SSU rRNA". It matches the Rfam family "Archaeal small subunit ribosomal RNA", at positions 176 to 881 of the family's 1478-position model. The record is from RNAcentral.